Molecule: ribosomal RNA, 253 nt
Filed under: uncultured bacterium
Lineage: Bacteria
Description: partial 16S ribosomal RNA
Rfam family: Bacterial small subunit ribosomal RNA
Source: RNAcentral
UACGUAGGGGGCAAGCGUUGUCCGGAUUUAUUGGGCGUAAAGAGCGUGUAGGCGGUUUGGUAGGUCCGUUGUGAAAACUCGAGGCUCAACCUCGAGACGCCGGCGGAAACCAUCAGGCUAGAGUCCGGAGGAGGAGAGUGGAAUUCCUGGUGUAGCGGUGAAAUGCGCAGAUAUCAGGAAGAACACCCGUGGCUAAGGCGGCUCUCUAGUACGGUACUGACGCUGAGACGCGAAAGCGUGGGGAGCGAACAGG